CUGUGCUUUCUGCUUCUAGGUCUCCAAACCAGUGAACAUGCCAAGUUUUAUGCCUUCUCAACCAGGUUGAAGCAUUCAGCAAUGAGAAUGAGACCUUGGUGUUUCAGUUUUCAGUAAAACACAAGCAAAGGAAGUAUUGUGGUGGCGGAUAUGUAAAACUCUUUCCUGCCACCCUGAACCAGGAGGAUAUGCACUCAGGAUCCAAGUAUCACAUCAUGUUUGGCCCUGACAUUUGUGGCUUUGGCAACAACAAAGUACAGGUCAUCCCUCAUUACUGAGAGAAAUACCAUGAGAACAAGACCAUCAAGUGCAGGGCUGGGGACAGAGUGGGCCAGACAUGGCCUUUGACUUCACAGAACUCACAGUCAAUGAAGGUAAGAGUCAAGCAAAGUGACUACCUAGUAUGCUGGGCAUCUGUGGGAGCACAGAAGAGGACCCCUACCCAACCUGGAGGCUAAGGAAAUACUUCUUAGAUCAAUAAAGACCCUCACCUGUACACUCUGAUUAUUCGCCCCAAUGCUACUUAUGAGGUUAAAAUUGACAACCAGCAGGUGGCAGCUGGGGCUCUGGAGGAGGACUGGGACUUCUUGCCUCCCAGGAAAAUAAAAGACCCUACGCCCAGAAACCAAAGAAAUGGGAUGAACGCCUGCACAUAGAGGAUCUGGAAGACAAGAAACCUGACAUCAGAGGGCAUUUGGCUGGGAAGCAGGUGGGAUCUCAGCUGUGGAGAUAGGAGAAGGAGGCUGGGAAUGAUGGAGCAGAGACUGGGGACAUCAAUCCCUCAAGGAGUUGUUCAGCUAGAUAUUGUUUUCCAAAGAGGCAUGGAGGGAAGAGGGCAGCCACUCACCUUUGUUGGGGAUCCAGCAGCCUCUGUGAACAAUGUGUUAUGAUCCCUCUUUUGUGGAUAAGGAAACUGAUGCUUAGAAAAUGAAGUAACUUGCCCAAGCAUACAUGCGUUAGAACCAAGAUUUGAACCUACAUCUUUUUGACUCUUAAGUUAUCAAUAUGGGGAAUGUGUGGAGUAUACUCAUUGGCUCAUUAUUAUUAUUCUGGAAAGCUGUACUGGAUAUAGCUAUGAAUAGAACAACCCUUGCCCUCUAGGGAUUCUGAAUAUAGUAAGGGAGGCAGAUAAGAAAACAAAGAUCAAAAUAUGUGAUCAGUGCUGAGAGCCAGGGAGGCAAGCCAGUGAGAGCCCAAAAGCGGAUCCCAGCCCAGCCUGAGUUGAGGUGUAGGCAGUGGUCUGAGAAAGAGAAGGAAAUGCUUGAGUGAGUGAGUUAACCUAGGAGUUGGAAACAUAAACUCUGGGGUCAGGCUGAUAUGGGUUGGAGCACCACCUUUUUCUAACUAUGGGACCCCAUCCUACUAGCAGUUAACUCUGCACAAGGAAUAUAACUGCUGUGAAAGUCAACUUCACAAACAGGUAUUAUUUUAAUACUUACGUGUGAAGGUUACUGUGAAGAUUAAAUGAGCUAAUAAAAAAUACAUAAUGUAGUGUCUGGUAUAUAGGAAGUCCUUAAUGUAUGGCCUUUAUAUGUUAAUAAUAUGCUGAAUUUCAAAUAAUAGAUUUAUUAGAGAAAAGUAAGAGGGAAACUGGGGUGGAGGGAAGACAUUCCAGACUCAGGGAACAGCAGGAGCAAAGGCACAGUGGUUAGUUAGGAAAUAACAUGGUGUGUAAAAAACUGACAGCAGUAGUUCAGUAUUUGGGGAACAUAAGGUUCAAGGUGGGGCAUGGUAGGAGAUAAGGUUGGAAAGGUCUGUUGGAGCCAGGCCAGGAAGGGCCUCACCCACCACAUUGCUACUCUGCAGGUCAGAGCAGAGUCAGUGUCAUGCAGAAGAGAUGCUUGAGGUCAGGCAGGGGUCAGCAUGGGACCAGGUAACUGGAGUCCAGCCCCUAAAGAGAGGCCUGCAGAGAGACGGGCAGUUGCCUAGCCACGUGUAGGGAGAUUUAGCAAAGGGCCCCAAUCCUUGGUGGAGGGAGGUGUAGUAAGGGAAUUAAGGCAGAUGAUCAGGCAAAGUGUCUGGGCCUUCAGCACCAUGGAAAAAUAAGGGGCUGGGUUGCUGCCAUGCCCAGAAGGCAGGCUUAGGGUAGGAAGACUAAACAUGGACCCUCCCCUCCUGGUGAGGACCAUGCACCUGAUGUAGUCAGGGUUGGCUUGGCUCAAGGACUUGGGGAGAGUAGAGAGGCUGCAGGCCUCUAUGCUCCCUGUUGAGUGGAACAAGGGAAGAUGGAAACUGAUUAAAUCAACAGGGCACUGUCACAACUAUAGCCCCCAGGAUAGGAUGCUGUCUGUCUUAGGAAUCAUAAAACGGCUAGAACAGGCUAGGAACCAGAGAACUUUCCCAAUCACAAUUGUGUUGAAUGACUGUGAAUUUGGUGGGCUGGCAUAGAAGCCUUCAGUCAUUCUGGACAAAUGGUCACAACCAAAGCAAACUGCCAGGCAGGCAGAGCAAAGCCUUGGAGGCUCCACAGCAUAGAAAUAUAAAAGUUGGGGUAGGCUGUUUUUGAUCUUGUAGAUCUCUGUCUUAGGAAAUCAGAGGGUCCUGGGGUACAAGGAAGGACUGACACAGGCCUGGGAGCAUACUGGGAUACAAAGCAGGUCACCAAGAGGCCUUCAAGAAGAGGGACCUAGGCUAAAAUACCUAUUAUAACAAUAAGGGCCCAUGAUUGUGGGGGAGGGUGUGGCCAGAGACAAGGGAAAUUCCCAUCUUACUUAAGCUUAAAGAACUCAAGGUCAAAAUGAUAGUGAACCCAGAGGAGGGAUUGGAAGUGCUUAAAGCCUCUUUCUUUUCUGCCCUGCAUUUGUUUACAGGUCCUGAGCUGGACCUUCAUAUAGAUGAUGAUGG
RNAcentral lists this long non-coding RNA (2844 nucleotides) under Homo sapiens (human). RNAcentral describes it as "non-protein coding lnc-EPS15-2:3". The record is from RNAcentral. Lineage: Eukaryota; Metazoa; Chordata; Mammalia; Primates; Hominidae.